Molecule: ribosomal RNA, 490 nt
Filed under: uncultured bacterium
Lineage: Bacteria
Description: partial 16S ribosomal RNA
Rfam family: Bacterial small subunit ribosomal RNA
Source: RNAcentral
AUUGAACGCUGGCGGCAGGCCUAACACAUGCAAGUCGAACGGUAACAGGAAGCAGCUUGCUGCUUUGCUGACGAGUGGCGGACGGGUGAGUAAUGUCUGGGAAACUGCCUGAUGGAGGGGGAUAACUACUGGAAACGGUAGCUAAUACCGCAUAACGCCGCAAGACCAAAGAGGGGGACCUUCGGGCCUCUUGCCAUCGGAUGUGCCCAGAUGGGAUUAGCUAGUAGGUGGGGUAACGGCUCACCUAGGCGACGAUCCCUAGCUGGUCUGAGAGGAUGACCAGCCACACUGGAACUGAGACACGGUCCAGACGCCUACGGGAGGCAGCAGUGGGGAAUAUUGCACAAUGGGCGCAAGCCUGAUGCAGCCAUGCCGCGUGUAUGAAGAAGGCCUUCGGGUUGUAAAGUACUUUCAGCGGGGAGGAAGGGAGUAAAGUUAAUACCUUUGCUCAUUGACGUUACCCGCAGAAGAAGCACCGGCUAACUCCGUG